AACAUAAUUUUCCCCGUAACAAAAAGUAGUAUGGGAUUGGGAGGGCAAUCCAUCCAUCCAAGUAUCCAACAAUAAGAAAGAGAAAUCUCGAUCGUGACAAAAGUGGUGCACUCGUGUUAAGUAGGAGUAUAAUUCUCCUUCCCAUGUUACAGUAGGAAAGUUGGUGAGAGAGCCGCCACCCCACUAUUAGAAUAGCCGCUCAACUGAAAACUAUGCAAAAUCUCUCUUUGACCUAAACCUCUCCCUCCGUUGGAGCUCGUCGACCGCACUUCUUUCUACUCCGCCGAACCAAUCUCAGUUUUGGUUUGAAAAGAUAGCCAAAGGCAUGGCGAUCUUCAUUGCAUCUCGUCGCCUCUCCGGCGGAUCGACGACCACGUCCUUGUUGCGCUUCAGUGCUUGUUGGAGAUCGUUCUCGACUUCUUUCAGGGAAGAAAGAGACACAUUUGGACCGAUCAGUGUUCCUUCUGAUAAAUUGUGGGGGGCUCAAACUCAAAGAUCGUUACAGAAUUUUGAGAUUGGUGGUGACCGGGAACGAAUGCCUGAGCCAAUUGUUCGUGCUUUUGGCAUCCUUAAGAAAUGUGCUGCCAAGGUCAACAUGGAAUAUGGUCUUGAUCCAUCCAUAGGGAAAGCAAUUAUGCAAGCAGCUCAAGAGGUGGCUGAAGGAAAGCUAAAUGACCAUUUUCCACUGGUUGUGUGGCAGACUGGCAGUGGGACCCAAAGUAAUAUGAACGCCAAUGAGGUUAUUGCAAAUAGAGCAGCUGAAAUUCUUGGCUAUCAGCGAGGUGAAAAAUUUGUGCAUCCAAAUGACCACGUAAACAGAUCACAAUCUUCUAAUGACACAUUCCCAACGGUGAUGCACAUCGCUGCUGCAAUGGAAAUAAAUUCGAGAUUAAUACCGAACAUGAAACAUUUGCAGGCUUCACUAAAUUCCAAGUCGGUGGAGUUCAAAGAUAUCAUAAAAAUUGGGCGUACUCACACUCAAGAUGCAACACCUUUGACUUUGGGGCAAGAGUUUAGCGGCUACACGACACAAGUGAAAUAUGGAAUUGACCGAGUCCUGUGCACCCUUCCUCGCAUGUAUCAGCUUGCGCAGGGCGGCACUGCUGUAGGGACUGGAUUGAACACCAAAAAAGGGUUUGAUGUAAAGAUUGCUGCAGCAGUAGCUGAAGAAACAAACUUGCCGUUUGUCACAGCAGAAAACAAAUUUGAAGCACUGGCUGCACAUGAUGCUUUUGUUGAAACUAGUGGAGCCUUGAACACAAUUGCUGCUUCCCUGAUGAAGAUUGCAAAUGACAUACGGUUGUUAGGAAGUGGUCCGCGCUGUGGCCUUGGUGAACUCAUUCUUCCUGAAAAUGAGCCUGGCAGCAGUAUUAUGCCUGGGAAAGUGAACCCUACCCAGUGCGAGGCCCUUACUAUGGUUUGUGCUCAGGUUAUGGGAAACCAUGUUGCCGUUACGGUUGGAGGAUCAAAUGGCCAUUUUGAGUUGAAUGUUUUCAAGCCUAUGAUUGCUAAUGCUCUUCUGCAUUCAGUGAGAUUGAUAGGGGAUGCAUCUGCUUCUUUCGAAAAGAAUUGUGUAAGGGGAAUUCAAGCCAAUAGGGAAAGGAUUUCAAAAUUACUGCAUGAGUCGCUAAUGCUCGUCACAUCUUUAAACCCUAAAAUUGGUUAUGACAAUGCUGCAGCAGUUGCCAAGAAAGCCCACAAGGAGGGAAGCACUCUGAAGGAAGCUGCUCUAAAACUUGGAGUACUGAGCGCUGAAGUGUUCGACAAACUUGUAGUUCCAGAGAAAAUGAUAGGUCCCUCGGACUAACUAGCAUGAUAUGCUUUCAGAGUUUGUGAUGAUCCCUAGUCCCCCAAAUAGUUUUCAUGAGGUUAAAGAUUCUGGUUGCGGUAUUCUCCCACAAGAUUUCGCUCUCUGUUUUACUAAAUUUGCUCAGUCUCAAAGUGGAUCAAACCAAAAUAAUAAUGGGGCUGGUCUUGGGCUCGCCAUUUGCAAACGGUUUAUAAAUCUAAUGGGGGGUCACAUUUGGAUUGAAAGCAAGGGAUUGGACAAGGGUACAACAGUUUCAUUCCUUGCAAAACUUGGAAUCUGCAACGAUCCCAAUGAAUCAACAAUGCUGGAGGUUGCAGUUGCCGGUAGAACAGAUCAAGGGAGCGCAGAUGUCAUUGGACGUAACCUAUUUCCUAAAGAACUCCCUCGUUAUCAGAGGAGUCUUUAGACUCAAACUAGGUUGACAUUCUAGCAUCAUUUAUCUUAUGUGUUUGAAGGCGGAACUGAUCAGAAGCCAAGAAGUCAUUCCUGAGAUCGGUAGAACUAAGUUUUCAGUGACAUUUUAUGUAGGCUUUAAGUGAGGGUGCUGCAUAAAGCAACAAAACCUCUCCAUCCGAGGGAUCACAAUAUUUUUCUUUACCCAAUCGUACGUCAGGAUCCCAAUGCAACUAUGUUGGUUUAUUUGGGAAGACAUCGAAUUUACUCAUUCCAUGUAUACAUGAUGGAAUCUAUGGCUAUUUGUCUGCAAA
Rhododendron vialii is the source of this 2517-nucleotide RNA transcript. It is a transcript of the gene named fumarate hydratase 1, mitochondrial, with no coding region annotated. The transcript is spliced from 19 exons. NCBI's taxonomy places the organism in Eukaryota, Viridiplantae, Streptophyta, Magnoliopsida, Ericales, Ericaceae. The record is from RefSeq and is a predicted model, not a curated record.